RNAcentral lists this ribosomal RNA (497 nucleotides) under uncultured bacterium. RNAcentral describes it as "partial 16S ribosomal RNA". It matches the Rfam family "Bacterial small subunit ribosomal RNA", at positions 28 to 507 of the family's 1533-position model. The record is from RNAcentral.
GAUGAACGCUGGCGGCGUGCCUAAUACAUGCAAGUCGAGCGAACAGACGAGGAGCUUGCUCCUCUGACGUUAGCGGCGGACGGGUGAGUAACACGUGGAUAACCUACCUAUAAGACUGGGAUAACUUCGGGAAACCGGAGCUAAUACCGGAUAAUAUAUUGACCCGCAUGGUUCAAUAGUUAAAGACGGUUUUGCUGUCACUUAUAGCUGGAUCCGCGCCGCAUUAGCUAGUUGGUAAGGUAACGGCUUACCAAGGCAACGAUGCGUAGCCGACCUGAGAGGGUGAUCGGCCACACGGGAACUGAGACACGGUCCAGACUCCUACGGGAGGCAGCAGUAGGGAAUCUUCCGCAAUGGGCGAAAGCCUGACAGAGCAACGCCGCGUGAGUGAUGAAGGUCUUCGGAUCGUAAAACUCUGUUAUUAGGGAAGAACAAAUGUGGAAGUAACCAUGCACGUCUUGACGGUACCGAAUCAAAAAGCCACGGCUAACUACGUG